AAGGCCCAGACAGCCAGGAGGUUGGCUUAGAAGCAGCCACCCUUUAAAGAAAGCGUAAUAGCUCACUAGUCGAGUCGGCCUGCGCGGAAGAUGUAACGGGGCUCAAACUGGUUACCGAAGCUGCGGCUGUGCACGCAAGUGCACGGGGUAGGGGAGCGUUCUGUAAGCCUGCGAAGGUGUGUCGAGAGGCAUGCUGGAGGUAUCAGAAGUGCGAAUGCUGACAUGAGUAACGACAAUGGGGGUGAAAAACCCCCACGCCGGAAGACCAAGGGUUCCUGCGCAACGCUAAUCGGCGCAGGGUGAGUCGGCCCCUAAGGCGAGACCGAAAGGUGUAGUCGAUGGGAAACGGAUUAAUAUUUCCGUACCUUGGAUAGCUGCGAUGGAGAGACGGAGAAGGCUAGGUGAGCCGGGCGACGGUUGUCCCGGUUUAAGCAUGUAGGCAGUGGGAUUAGGCAAAUCCGGUCCCACAAUGCCGAGACGCGACGACGACUGCCCUUUUAGGGCGGGAAGUCAUUGAUGCCCUGCUUCCAGGAAAAUCUUCUAAGCUUCAGGCUAUUCGAGACCGUACCCCAAACCGACACAGGUGGGCAGGUAGAGCAUACCAAGGCGCUUGAGAGAACAACGUUGAAGGAACUCGGCAAAAUGCCCCCGUAACUUCGGGAGAAGGGGGACCUCGCAUUGGGCAACCAGUGAGGGGUGGCACAGAGUAGGGGGUGGCGACUGUUUACUAAAAACACAGGGCUCUGCGAAGUCGCAAGACGACGUAUAGGGUCUGACGCCUGCCCGGUGCCGGAAGGUUAAAAGGAGAGGUGAGAGCUUUGAAUUGAAGCCCCGGUAAACGGCGGCCGUAACAAUAACGGUCCUAAGGUAGCGAAAUUCCUUGUCGGGUAAGUUCCGACCUGCACGAAUGGCGUAACGACUUCCCCACUGUCUCCAACAUAGACUCAGCGAAAUUGAAUUCCCCGUGAAGAUGCGGGGUACCC
Molecule: ribosomal RNA, 983 nt
Filed under: Prasinoderma singulare
Lineage: Eukaryota; Viridiplantae; Prasinodermophyta; Prasinodermophyceae; Prasinodermales; Prasinodermaceae
Description: partial Bacterial large subunit ribosomal RNA
Rfam family: Bacterial large subunit ribosomal RNA
Source: RNAcentral